CGGGGUUCCCUGCGUGGCUCGCAGGGGCGGGGCCAGAAACUGCCGCGAUGAAUGUCAGUCCCCAGAGCCGGAACCGUUCCCGGUUUUCUCUACUUGGAUCUGAGAACUCUGUCCCUCCAGCCCUGCGAGCGCUUUGCCAGGGUGACGGGCGGAAAUGUCCCCGCAUCCGUGCCUGCUUUCCCAGAUGGGACCCUCCAGCAGUCCCCUCCACUGCCCGUGCUUCCUCCUAACCACUUCCCCCCAGCGACCGCGGAAGGCGCUUCCUCCCCCGCAGCGCGAGCCCCAAGCUCCUCCAGAGCCCCAGCUCUCCCCGCCCCCUUCCCGACCUUGUUUCAUAUGACCCCUCCCCCGCACAUACUCAAUUUCGUCUUCCCAAGGCGCCCACUCUCCACAUCCUGAUGAAAAAAAGAGCCGGCUGCUGUCCUA
Molecule: long non-coding RNA, 426 nt
Filed under: Homo sapiens (human)
Lineage: Eukaryota; Metazoa; Chordata; Mammalia; Primates; Hominidae
Description: non-protein coding LINC01816:15
Source: RNAcentral